AAUGGAGGCAAGUGUGAAGGA
RNAcentral lists this microRNA (21 nucleotides) under Arabidopsis thaliana (thale cress). RNAcentral describes it as "ath-miR8165". The record is from miRBase by way of RNAcentral. Lineage: Eukaryota; Viridiplantae; Streptophyta; Magnoliopsida; Brassicales; Brassicaceae.